AUGAGAAGUGAAGACAAGAAAAGGAGCGCACGACACGAGCCCUUGGCAAAAAUAUUUUUUAUCCUGUUUGUUCGUCUAUUUUUGUGCGAUAGGUCCAUGGACGAAACCCAACAUAUCUUGGCAAUCGUCUCUGAAGUUCUAAUAACAACGAGAGUAAUGGGAAACGCAACACCUUAUGCUGUUUCAUUUCUCUUAAGGUUUAUCUAUGGGGUUAUGCUAAUACUUACCAAAGCUGCUUUUAACCAAGGUAUAAGUACAUACGUUCUUAAUUUCUACAAGCAUGUAAUAGCCACCAUCUUCUUACUGCCCAUUGCUUUUGCGAUUGAAAGGUACGCAUAUUUUGGCUGCUUAGUUAGCUAG
RNAcentral lists this ribosomal RNA (360 nucleotides) under Triticum aestivum (bread wheat). RNAcentral describes it as "partial small subunit ribosomal RNA". The record is from RNAcentral. Lineage: Eukaryota; Viridiplantae; Streptophyta; Magnoliopsida; Poales; Poaceae.